AACGAACGCUGGCGGCAUGCCUAACACAUGCAAGUCGAACGAGACCUUCGGGUCUAGUGGCGCACGGGUGCGUAACGCGUGGGAACCUGCCCUUAGGUUCGGAAUAACUCCCCGAAAGGGGUGCUAAUACCGGAUAAUGUCUUCGGACCAAAGAUUUAUCGCCUUUGGAUGGGCCCGCGUUGGAUUAGCUAGUUGGUAGGGUAAAAGCCAACCAAGGCGACGAUCCAUAGCUGGUCUGAGAGGAUGAUCAGCCACACUGGGACUGAGACACGGCCCAGACUCCUACGGGAGGCAGCAGUGGGGAAUAUUGGACAAUGGGCGAAAGCCUGAUCCAGCAAUGCCGCGUGAGUGAUGAAGGCCUUAGGGUUGUAAAGCUCGUUUACCCGGGAUGAUAAUGACAGUACCGGGAGAAUAAGCUCCGGCUAACUCCGUG
RNAcentral lists this ribosomal RNA (433 nucleotides) under uncultured bacterium. RNAcentral describes it as "partial 16S ribosomal RNA". It matches the Rfam family "Bacterial small subunit ribosomal RNA", at positions 29 to 507 of the family's 1533-position model. The record is from RNAcentral.